CAGCAGCCGCGGGAAUACGUAGGGUGCAAGCGUUAAUCGGAAUUAUUGGGCGUAAAGGGCUCGCAGGCGGUUUCUUAAGUCUGAUGUGAAAGCCCCCGGCUCAACCGGGGAGGGUCAUUGGAAACUGGGAAACUUGAGUGCAGAAGAGGAGAGUGGAAUUCCACGUGUAGCGGUGAAAUGCGUAGAGAUGUGGAGGAACACCAGUGGCGAAGGCGACUCUCUGGUCUGUAACUGACGCUGAGGAGCGAAAGCGUGGGGAGCGGACAGGAUUAGAUACCCCAGUAGUCCCUGUCUCUUAUAA
RNAcentral lists this ribosomal RNA (301 nucleotides) under uncultured bacterium. RNAcentral's name for it is "partial 16S ribosomal RNA". It matches the Rfam family "Bacterial small subunit ribosomal RNA", at positions 509 to 809 of the family's 1533-position model. The record is from RNAcentral.